RNAcentral lists this unclassified non-coding RNA (226 nucleotides) under Hevea brasiliensis (rubber tree). The record is from RNAcentral. Lineage: Eukaryota; Viridiplantae; Streptophyta; Magnoliopsida; Malpighiales; Euphorbiaceae.
AAUCUUUCAAUCAAAAUAAAAUAAAAAAAAAAGAAAGAAAAGAAUUUAUCUUUAAGAAAAAUUUAACAAGAAAAAACUUGAUUGAAAAAUUAGAGAUGAAAUUAAAUUUUUUUUAAAGAAAUUAAAAAAAGAUGCAUGAACUUAAUUUUGCUCAUGAAAUUUAGAGGAAUCAAAGUUUGCAGUUCUAUUGCUUGCCUUUUCCUAAAAAUUGUAUGAUAAUUUGAUA